UACGAAGGGUGCAAGCGUUACUCGGGAUUACUGGGCGUAAAGGGUGCGUAGGUGGUUCUUUAAGUCUGCUGUGAAAUCCCCGGGCUCAACCUGGGAAUGGCAGUGGAUACUGGAGAGCUAGAGUGCGGUAGAGGGUAGUGGAAUUCCCGGUGUAGCAGUGAAAUGCGUAGAGAUCGGGAGGAAGGCCGGUGGCGAAGGCGGCUCUCUGGAACGUCCCUGACGCUGAGGCGCGAAAGCGUGGGGAGCAAACAGG
RNAcentral lists this ribosomal RNA (253 nucleotides) under uncultured prokaryote. RNAcentral describes it as "partial 16S ribosomal RNA". It matches the Rfam family "Bacterial small subunit ribosomal RNA", at positions 524 to 776 of the family's 1533-position model. The record is from RNAcentral.